Molecule: long non-coding RNA, 457 nt
Organism: Gallus gallus (chicken)
Lineage: Eukaryota; Metazoa; Chordata; Aves; Galliformes; Phasianidae
Source: Ensembl
CUCUUAAUGAUUUGGAAGCAGUGUUAAUGGCUGUCACCUGCUAUACUUCAGACUGUCAAUAAAGACAAAUUAACCACUAAGUUCUGUUGGUUAAAAGACGGGAAGACCUUCCUAUCACAGCUUGUCAGGGCACUCAAGCUGCUAGAGGGCUUGCUGCUGAGAAAUGGAAAGCAUUUCCCUGCUCAGAGGAAUUUAUACCAACUUCACUGGAGAGUUCUGCAUGUAAUGUUUUCAUUGCUAGGAACAGGAACUAAAGUACAACCAAAAUCGGAGUACAGUUGCUUACAGCUCCUGAUAUGGAAAUCACCAAUUUCACAACUGCUACAACAUGGUUGGCUCACGUCUUAUGUCACAGAGAGUACUUUUAUCUAGAUUCAUACAUCUGGCAUUUUAAGUCUUAUGGAUGACAUAAUCAACAUUCAGAGACGUUUCUUUCUACAUUAAGGUAAUGUCAGGG